RNAcentral lists this ribosomal RNA (450 nucleotides) under uncultured bacterium. Its description in RNAcentral is "bacterial SSU rRNA". It matches the Rfam family "Bacterial small subunit ribosomal RNA", at positions 354 to 796 of the family's 1533-position model. The record is from RNAcentral.
GUGGGGAAUUUUGGACAAUGGGCGCAAGCCUGAUCCAGCAAUGCCGCGUGCAGGAAGAAGGCCUUCGGGUUGUAAACUGCUUUUGUACGGAACGAAACGGUCCUGGUUAAUACCUGGGGCUAAUGACGGUACCGUAAGAAUAAGCACCGGCUAACUACGUGCCAGCAGCCGCGGUAAUACGUAGGGUGCGAGCGUUAAUCGGAAUUACUGGGCGUAAAGCGUGCGCAGGCGGUGCUGUAAGACAGGCGUGAAAUCCCCGGGCUCAACCUGGGAAUUGCGCUUGUGACGGCAUUGCUGGAGUACGGCAGAGGGGGAUGGAAUUCCGCGUGUAGCAGUGAAAUGCGUAGAUAUGCGGAGGAACACCGAUGGCGAAGGCAGUCCCCUGGGCCUGUACUGACGCUCAUGCACGAAAGCGUGGGGAGCAAACAGGAUUAGAAACCCGUGUAGUCC